Molecule: long non-coding RNA, 688 nt
Organism: Lagenorhynchus albirostris (white-beaked dolphin)
Lineage: Eukaryota; Metazoa; Chordata; Mammalia; Artiodactyla; Delphinidae
Exons: 2
Source: RefSeq, a predicted model, not a curated record
CAGGAGAGGGGCCAUGAAGGGAAUGCCUUUGGGGGAGGAGGCUUUAAUUUGAACUCAAACCUUGUUUCCAGAAAGAGAGUUCUUGAGAGAAAAAGGCGCUAUCAUUUUGACACAGAUGGGAAGGGCUCCAUGCACGGUCGGAGAGGUGGUGCAAGGAAGCGGCCCUUUGAGCGCAGCGAGUACAUACUUAUGGCAGACUUCGGGGAGAUUCAGCAAAGCAAAAGAAAAGAAAUUCAUCCAUAUUCCUGACACCCAACAACCAUUGCUGUUGACACCUUGACCUGUGCACAGUCUGAUGACUGCGGUGUUUGUGAUGAGUAUGCAGAGGGUCAAAGAUGGGAAGAGACACAGAAAGCAGUGAGGAAGUGGUGUGUGGUCAUUGUGGGAUUACAGUUAAGUAUUUUGUCUCGGUUACCUGGGACAGGCUUUCUCACAGUGUUUUGGGAACCUACCUUUAUUACAUGUAUUUCCAUUAUAAACACGGUAUGUGUUCAUUACAGAGACUUGGAAGUUACAGAAGUGUAGAAGAGAAACUCGCCCAUAUUAUCAUCAUCCAAAGACUGUGGUUAACAUCUUCAUAUAUUUUCUUCAUCUUGUUUCUGUGCACAGGUUUUUGGUUUGUUAAUAUGGUUGUGGUCGUUCUAUCUAUCUGUAAUAGUGUCAACAAUAAAAAUAAAGUUAAAAAUAA